RNAcentral lists this non-coding RNA (206 nucleotides) under Bacillota bacterium. Its description in RNAcentral is "6S RNA". It matches the Rfam family "6S / SsrS RNA". From Rfam's summary of the family: E. coli 6S RNA was the first non coding RNA to be sequenced, but its function was unknown until recently. It consists of 184 nucleotides that fold into an extended hairpin structure with a large single-stranded internal bulge. Lineage: Bacteria; Bacillati; Bacillota. The record is from RNAcentral.
UAAAUCCUGCGUUGUGCGUGGUGUCACUCAAGUGGCUUAAGGCCCGUUAAACCCACAUCUCUUAUAAGGGAUGCCGAUAUGAGUCUGCGGAUUGCAGGCCUCCCGGCUUGUGCCGGAUGUUGGAAGCAGCGAAACAGAACUGAGGCAACCCACCUGCCCAAUCGUGCAGGUUAUAAUCGGGCCCCAACGGCAUUCGCGGGAUUUCC